AAAGCCUUAAGUUAAAUCAAACUAUGCGCCUUCAAAGCACAAAAUAGAAAAUAUAUUUCUAGGCUUUG
RNAcentral lists this transfer RNA (68 nucleotides) under Terebellides stroemii. RNAcentral's name for it is "tRNA-Trp". Lineage: Eukaryota; Metazoa; Annelida; Polychaeta; Terebellida; Trichobranchidae. The record is from RNAcentral.